RNAcentral lists this unclassified non-coding RNA (240 nucleotides) under soil metagenome. RNAcentral describes it as "partial contains 5.8S ribosomal RNA, internal transcribed spacer 2, and large subunit ribosomal RNA". The record is from RNAcentral.
AACCAUAGAAACCUGCGGAGUACCUGCGGAGGGAUCAUUACAGAGUUGCAAAACUCCCUAAACCAUUGUGAACGUUACCUAAACCGUUGCUUCGGCGGGCGGCCCGGGUCCUUCCCGGCGCCCCUCGGCCCUCGCGGGCGCCCGCCGGAGGUAAACCAAACUAUUGCAUUGUAUGGCCUCUCUGAGUCUUCUGUACUGAAUAAGUCAAAACUUUCAGCAACGGAUCUCAGAUCGGAAGAG